GACGAACGCUGGCGGCGUGCUUAACACAUGCAAGUCGAACGAGACGAUUGAAAGCUUGCUUCUUAUUGAUUCGAGUGGCAAACGGGUGAGUAACGCGUAAGCAACCUGCCCUUCAGAUGGGGACAACAGCUGGAAACGGCUGCUAAUACCGAAUACGUUCUUUUUGUCGCAUGGCAGAGAGAAGAAAGGGAGGCUCUUCGGAGCUUUCGCUGAAGGAGGGCUUGCGUCUGAUUAGCUAGUUGGUGGGGCAACGGCCUACCAAGGCGACGAUCAGUAGCCGGUCUGAGAGGAUGAACGGCCACAUUGGAACUGAGACACGGUCCAGACUCCUACGGGAGCAGCAGUGGGAAUCUUCCGCAAUGGCGAAAGCCUGACGGAGCAACGCCGCGUGAGUGAAGAAGGUCUUACGGAUCGUAAAGCUCUGUUGUCGGGGACGAAUGUUGAGACCUAGAACAUAGGUUUCAAAUGA
This 469-nucleotide ribosomal RNA is filed under the name uncultured bacterium. Its description in RNAcentral is "bacterial SSU rRNA". It matches the Rfam family "Bacterial small subunit ribosomal RNA", at positions 28 to 472 of the family's 1533-position model. The record is from RNAcentral.